Molecule: ribosomal RNA, 138 nt
Filed under: uncultured bacterium
Lineage: Bacteria
Description: partial 16S ribosomal RNA
Rfam family: Bacterial small subunit ribosomal RNA
Source: RNAcentral
GCAGCCUGAUGCAGCCAUGCCGCGUGAGUGAAGAAGGCCCUAGGGUUGUAAAACUCUUUCACCGGUUAGGAUAAUGACGUUAACCGGAGAAGAAGUCCCGGCUAACUCCGUGCCAGCAGCCGCGGUAAUACAAGUUUC